This is a non-coding RNA of Elaeis guineensis (African oil palm), 934 nucleotides long. The record is from RefSeq and is a predicted model, not a curated record. NCBI's taxonomy places the organism in Eukaryota, Viridiplantae, Streptophyta, Magnoliopsida, Arecales, Arecaceae.
UUUUUAUUCACGAUUUGAUUUUUAUUAUAAAAUUAAAAUAGCUAUAACUUUAAUUUUUAAGACCGUAUGACAGACAUGAGAUCCCAACCUAUCUCUGAGGGCUCAACCGUACCUACAGAUGAUGAGAUCUGUGAUCAGAUGCUUGGUAUGAGAUCUUAUUAUAUUAGGAGUCUAGGAUAUGGGAUCACUGCUCCCUCAUCCUUACACUCAUCUAGGGCUGACAUCCAUCCUGCUUGUGAGGCUCGACUGACGGAGGUGCAGAGGCAGGCUGUCGAGGAUCAACAGUGGGCUGAGCAACGAGCUCAAGAGUUAGCUGCACGUGUCGAUAAGUAUCAACAGCUCCAGAUCCAGAUGAUGAAGUGGAUGGCAUAGAUGGAGUAGACAAUACAGCUGAUGAGGCAGCAGCAGUCUCUCCAUUGUCAUGCACGAUCAGAGACGGUAUCCGAAGAGUCUAAUCACUCUCUGUGAAGCAUCUUCUCCUAUUCUUGGCUGAUUCAACAAAUUAAAAGAAAAAAAGAAGAGAGCUGCAACUUCCUCCCAAACAGCAGUCUCCCUGCAUGCAUCCUCUCAAUUAGCAGUAGCCUCUACCCCAUCUCAACCAGUAGCACCCUCCCUGCAUGGCUCCUCCUAACCAGCAGCAGCCUCUAUCUCAUCCCAACUAGCAGCAACCUUUAUGUCCUCCCAACCAGCAGCACCUGGACCUUCAACAGCAGCCUCCCAAUUAUGAAAUUUAUUUGUUUUGAUAUAUUUUGGAUGAAACUUUAUAUAAUUUUGGAUGAUACUUUGUAUGAUACAAAGUUUAAAGUGAUACAUUGGUAAUGAUGUAUUUUAUUUGGAUGAAACUUUGUAUAAUUUUGGAUGUUGAAACUUUGUUAAUGAUGUGUCUAAAGUGAUACAAAGGCCUUUGAUACAUUGUUAAUGAUGUGUUUAAAGU